This 89-nucleotide transfer RNA is filed under the name Mycolicibacterium hippocampi. RNAcentral's name for it is "tRNA-Pro". The record is from RNAcentral. Lineage: Bacteria; Bacillati; Actinomycetota; Actinomycetes; Mycobacteriales; Mycobacteriaceae.
UCGUGGCGGGCGGUGGAGAACGCGACGUCGGGGCUGUCGCGAUGUGUCAGCACGAGGUGCACCCCGCCGAUCGCCUCGGCGGCGGCGAC